This 706-nucleotide long non-coding RNA is filed under the name Gallus gallus (chicken). RNAcentral describes it as "uncharacterized LOC420411, transcript variant 4 (LOC420411)". The record is from RNAcentral. Lineage: Eukaryota; Metazoa; Chordata; Aves; Galliformes; Phasianidae.
CUCUGAGGCAUGACGGUGAUGGCGGCAUCCAGCACUUCUUCCCUUCUGGUUCCUGCGCUGCGUGCCUCGGCCCUAAAGCUUGCAGUUCCCCUGUCUGAUGGUCGAGGCGGACGCUCCAUGCUGCAGGGAGCAGGCAGCCCUGUCCUGUGGUUUCUGCUGGGCCCCACAGAUCUGCCUGCAACUGCAACUCAGUUCUUUGUGCUGAAGCCAUGAAGCUUCAUCUGAAGCUGCGUUGGAAGAAAUCUGAGCCCACGGGUGAUGCUCUGCUGGAUCCCAUGAAGAUAAGACAAGCCUAGGGGCUUGCUGGGGGCUUGCAGAUUGCUCUACUGAUGCCAUCCAAGCCUGUCACGCUGUCCCAGGUGAAAUAGUGCUGAGUGCCCAGCAUGAAUUUGGCGAGCUCACUGCAGCUGGGAACCGUGGGGAAACAGUGAGUGAACAGCCACAACUGGAAGUCCCCAACUUGCCUGUGUGCUCUGCUGUGUGGUGAGGAGCUGCUCAGUGCAGGAUGCGCCCACAAGCAGUUUCCUGAGGAAGAAGAGAAGAUUUGGGUGGCUCAGCAGUGGGGUCUCCUGCUCUCCAGAGCACCCAGUGCUGGUGAGAAGGAGUGGUGACUGCAUACUGAUGUUUUGGGGGUACAUUUGCUUGUAUUUUCUACUUUGCAAGUUCAUGUCGCAUCGAUAAAUAAAAAUCUCUGGUAUUUUCACAA